This 492-nucleotide ribosomal RNA is filed under the name uncultured bacterium. RNAcentral describes it as "partial 16S ribosomal RNA". It matches the Rfam family "Bacterial small subunit ribosomal RNA", at positions 30 to 507 of the family's 1533-position model. The record is from RNAcentral.
AGUGAACGCUGGCGGUAGGCCUAACACAUGCAAGUCGAACGGCAGCACAGUAAGAGCUUGCUCUUACGGGUGGCGAGUGGCGGACGGGUGAGGAAUACAUCGGAAUCUACUUUUUCGUGGGGGAUAACGUAGGGAAACUUACGCUAAUACCGCAUACGACCUACGGGUGAAAGCAGGGGAUCUUCGGACCUUGCGCGAUUGAAUGAGCCGAUGUCGGAUUAGCUAGUUGGCGGGGUAAAGGCCCACCAAGGCGACGAUCCGUAGCUGGUCUGAGAGGAUGAGGGGGCAAAAGGGAACACAGAAAAGGUCCAGAACACGAAGGGAGGAAGCAGGAGGGAAUCGUCGGAAAUGGGCGAAAGACUGACGGAGCAAAGACGCGUGAGUGAAGAAGGGCUUCGGGUCGGAAAACUCUGUUAGUAGGGAAAAAAAAAGGGGAAGGUAAAAGCGCGCAGCUUGACGGGAACUAAACGGAAAGACACGGCUAACGUCGGG